CCUACGGGUGGCAGCAGUGAGGAAUAUUGGUCAAUGGGCGCGAGCCUGAACCAGCCAAGUCGCGUGAGGGAUGAAGGCUCUAUGGAUCGUAAACUUCUUUUAUAAGGGAAUAAAGUGUGGGACGUGUACUUGUUUGUAUGUACCUUAUGAAUAAGGAUCGGCUAACUCCGUGCCAGCAGCCGCGGUAAUACGGAGGAUCCGAGCGUUAUCCGGAUUUAUUGGGUUUAAAGGGUGCGUAGGCGGGCUGUUAAGUCAGCGGUGAAAGUCUGUGGCUCAACCAUAGAAUUGCCGUUGAUACUGGGGGGCUAGAGUGUAUUUGCGGCAGGCGGAAGGCGUGGUGUAGCGGUGAAAUGCUUAGAUAUCACGCAGAACCCCGAUUGCGAAGGCAGCCUGCCAAGCCAUGACUGACGUUGAUGCACGAAAGCGUGGGGAUCAAACAGGAUUAGAUACCCUAGUAGUC
Molecule: ribosomal RNA, 460 nt
Filed under: uncultured bacterium
Lineage: Bacteria
Description: partial 16S ribosomal RNA
Rfam family: Bacterial small subunit ribosomal RNA
Source: RNAcentral